UACUCCAUAGGUCUAGGAUGCUGGAAUGCUUCUAGGCCCAAAACUCCGGUGCCUUAGGAUUGGUCUGCGGCCUAUCAGGCAGUAGUGGGUGUAACGGACCCACUAGCCCGUGACGGGUAUGGGCCUUGAGAGAGGGUGCCCAGAGAUGGACUCUGAGACAUGAGUCCAGGCCCUACGGGGCGCAGCAGUCGCGAAAACUUCGCAAUGGGGGAAACCCCGACGAGGGAAUUCCAAGUGCUAGCACUUUGUGUUAGCUGUUCUUCUGUCUAAAAAACAGGAGAAGUAAGGGGCGGGUAAGACGGGUGCCAGCCGCCGCGGUAAUACCCGCGCCCCGAGUGGUGGUCGAUAUUAUUGAGCCUAAAACGUCCGUAGCCGGUUUCCUAAAUCCUUGGGUAAAUCGGGCAGCUUAACUGUCCGAAUUCCGGGGAGACUGGGAAACUUGGGACCGGGAGAGGUCAGAGGUACUUCUGGGGUAGGGGUAAAAUCCUGUAAUCCUGGAAGGACCACCGGUGGCGAAGGCGUCUGACUAGAACGGAUCCGACGGUGAGGGACGAAGCCCUGGGGCGCAAACGGGAUUAGAUACCCCGGUAGUCCAGGGUGUAAACGCUGUGGGCUUGGUGUUGGGGGUCCUUUGUGGGCGCCCAGUGCCGGAGAGAAGUUGUUAAGCCUACUGCUUGGGGAGUAUGUCCG
This 690-nucleotide ribosomal RNA is filed under the name uncultured archaeon. Its description in RNAcentral is "bacterial SSU rRNA". It matches the Rfam family "Archaeal small subunit ribosomal RNA", at positions 150 to 843 of the family's 1478-position model. The record is from RNAcentral.